This is a long non-coding RNA of Oreochromis niloticus (Nile tilapia), 374 nucleotides long. RefSeq lists it as uncharacterized. The transcript has 2 exons. The record is from RefSeq and is a predicted model, not a curated record. Lineage: Eukaryota; Metazoa; Chordata; Actinopteri; Cichliformes; Cichlidae.
CUCUCUCCUUCUCUCCCCUGUUUUGCCGGAACUCAUGGCGGCUUCACGCCCUCGGUCCACGCCUUCCUGGAUUGGGAACACCUGGGCCUCAUCAGACCAGCUGGUAUAUUAAAAGGAGGAGAUCAGCUGUUCAACGCUGGAUUGUUGUGAAGGCUCUAAUUCCCCGGACCCGUCCCCGUGUUUCCCCGUGUGGAGUGUGGAAGGAGUGACUGGUCGCUAGCGGAGAAGAGAGAGGCUGAACUGAGCGCGUGUGUGAUUUCCCCCGUUUUCCCUGGAGCCCUGCCCCUCACGUCUUGUAUAUAGCACUAACCCCUCACUGUCUGUACAUACACUUGGUGAAGAUCUGUAAAUAAACCGUCUCUGUUUAAACGCUA